GCUGGGAUGGCAGAGCGGCCAUGCGCCGGCCUGCAGAGCCGGAUAGGGGAGUUCAACUCUCCCUCCCAGCU
RNAcentral lists this transfer RNA (71 nucleotides) under Candidatus Aenigmatarchaeota archaeon. RNAcentral's name for it is "tRNA-Cys". It matches the Rfam family "tRNA". From Rfam's summary of the family: Transfer RNA (tRNA) molecules are approximately 80 nucleotides in length. Their secondary structure includes four short double-helical elements and three loops (D, anti-codon, and T loops). Lineage: Archaea; Nanobdellati; Candidatus Aenigmatarchaeota. The record is from RNAcentral.